GUACAACUUAAACCUAAGUAAGAGUAAUUUCUUUAAUGUUUUUUUAAUGCAAGUAAUUAUUUUUUAGUGCAACGGACACAAAUGUCAUUCCGGGUGUCGAGGCAACGACUGUAAGGCUUUCUGCAAAGGCUUCAAUUGCAAAGUGAUGUGUUUAGGAGUACCCUGCGACAAACAAGAGAUAUUUUGGUGACAGUAGCUGAUCUUUAGUUUAGUAUGAG
Long non-coding RNA from Amyelois transitella, 218 nucleotides. RefSeq lists it as uncharacterized. Lineage: Eukaryota; Metazoa; Arthropoda; Insecta; Lepidoptera; Pyralidae. The record is from RefSeq and is a predicted model, not a curated record. The transcript has 4 exons.